UGGGGAAUAUUGCACAAUGGGCGCAAGCCUGAUGCAGCCAUGCCGCGUGUGUGAAGAAGGCCUUCGGGUUGUAAAGCACUUUCAGCGGGGAGGAAGGCGUUAAGGUUAAUAACCUUGGCGAUUGACGUUGCCCGCAGAAGAAGCACCGGCUAACUCCGUGCCAGCAGCCGCGGUAAUACGGAGGGUGCAAGCGUUAAUCGGAAUUACUGGGCGUAAAGCGCACGCAGGCGGUCUGUCAAGUCGGAUGUGAAAUCCCCGGGCUCAACCUGGGAACUGCAAUCGAAACUGGCAGGCUAGAGUCUUGUAGAGGGGAGUAGAAUUCCAGGUGUAGCGGUGAAAUGCGUCGAUAAAUGGGGGAACACCAGUGGCGAAGGCGGCUCGCUGGUCUGUAACUGACGAUGAGGCUCGAAAGCGUGGGGAGCAAACAGG
Molecule: ribosomal RNA, 429 nt
Filed under: Chloroflexota bacterium
Lineage: Bacteria; Bacillati; Chloroflexota
Description: Chloroflexi bacterium partial 16S ribosomal RNA
Rfam family: Bacterial small subunit ribosomal RNA
Source: RNAcentral